Molecule: long non-coding RNA, 239 nt
Filed under: Homo sapiens (human)
Lineage: Eukaryota; Metazoa; Chordata; Mammalia; Primates; Hominidae
Description: non-protein coding lnc-ULBP2-25:3
Source: RNAcentral
CCGCAGUAGCGGGAGACAUAGCCGGCCCAGCCGGGCACCGCUCCUUGCCCUCGCCGGAGACUGCCCAGCGCCCUGCGCCUCUCCGCCCCGGCCUGCGGCGCGCUGGGUGGCGACGAGUCGGCCUCGGCGUUGAUCAGCACCAGACGGAGUCUUGCUCUGUUGCCAAGACUGGAAUGCAGAGGCGCGAUCUCCGCUCAUUGCAGGCUCCGCCUCCACUUGACUCAGGGAACACACAGCAG